This 330-nucleotide unclassified non-coding RNA is filed under the name soil metagenome. RNAcentral's name for it is "partial contains 5.8S ribosomal RNA, internal transcribed spacer 2, and large subunit ribosomal RNA". The stretch from base 1 to 120 matches the Rfam family "5.8S ribosomal RNA", at positions 35 to 154 of the family's 154-position model. The record is from RNAcentral.
GAUGAAGAACGUAGCGAAAUGCGAUAAGUAAUGUGAAUUGCAGAAUUCAGUGAAUCAUCGAAUCUUUGAACGCACAUUGCGCCCCUUGGUAUUCCGAGGGGCAUGCCUGUUCGAGCGUCAUUAUAACCCCUCAAGCUUAGCUUGGUGUUGGGGCCUGCUGUAAUAGAGCAGCCCUUAAAAUCAGUGGCGGUGCCAUUAGGCUCUAAGCGUAGUAAUUCUUCUCGCUAUAGGGUUCUGGGGGAUGCUUGCCAUUAACCUCUAAUUUUCUAUGGUUGACCUCGGAUCAGGUAGGGAUACCCGCUGAACUUAAGCAUAUCAAUAAGCGGAGGA